Bemisia tabaci is the source of this 1457-nucleotide non-coding RNA. The record is from RefSeq and is a predicted model, not a curated record. NCBI's taxonomy places the organism in Eukaryota, Metazoa, Arthropoda, Insecta, Hemiptera, Aleyrodidae.
AGCUUCCUUGCGCAGUCUUCUCCGAAACUCGAGCGCGGAGAGCUGUGUUCCUUCCGUCGCGUCGCGACGCCGCCGAUGCCACCACGUACACGUCCACGUUCGCGACGUGAUUGAAUUUUCUCGUGUCGUCCAGUGCCUCCCGUUUUCCGGCUCCCGGUCAGUUUGUGUGCUUUCCCUCGGAAUCCCAGUCUUCCGGAGGCUCCGUCGAGUCGUGUUGUGUUUUCUUCUUACGUUGCCCGCAGCCGAUGCUUUACUUACACGAUUGUGCACUUCCCAUGUUUUCUCCUCGAAUCCCACUCGUGCUUGGCGACGAAACCAAAGUCUGCUCGUGGGAAGCAGAGUGCCCUAUGGAUAAAGUUCGCAAUGAUUGAAAUUCUACGAUGCUGAUUUGGAUCUCCUCUUGUGUUUUAUUCACGAUUUUACCACUAAACGCUAAUUUGAAUUGAGUUUUUGACCCUGGUAACGCCUCAUUUUUGGGAAGCAUGAACAGUGUGUAUCGACGGAGGAGGCUUUCAUCUCUGGACUGCAAAUUAUCCUGUUUUAUUCUGCUUCUCUACAUGCGUUGAGAAAAUUUAGCAUAUGCCUUCCCUCCAGCAAGCAUGACUUUCAAGAAGACAGUGUUCGCAGUGCUUUCCAGUGUGCCGUGUCCGUUUACCCCCGGUUCUUCCAUCGUGUGACUCUCACCGAAGUUCUGAAGGAUCAAAUCUGCGAUGGAUGCUGUCACUUGACCGAGUGUAAAAUCCCUUAAAUUCGAAUUUUGACGCGAAGGAAUCCAUGUCACAACUUAGUCUUGAUUUUUUGUGGUAUAAUCACACUGAAGGCGUCACAGUUUUGAAACUGACUAAAAAUCUCUACAAUUUACUCGCGUCGAAUCCAAACGUUUUCUGAUUAAGUGAGGUCAGUUUUUGACCCCAAUUUAAGCACCUUAACUGGUAAUUGUUUUCAGUUUUUAUUUCGUAGGUCGACGUCCGUUUUUUAAACCACUCUACUUCUCAGUCAAUUUCCACAUUUAAAAGCCGUUAAUAAUUCGGAACCUAUUUUGGAACUCUUUCGUUUUUCAUUUUUUAAAUCGUCACCUUUUUUAAACGCCAAUCGAGGGCUCGGAAAUCUUAAUGACUGAAGAGUGUGUAAUCCAUUCCAAAUCGAAAAACUUUACCUCCAAAUGAAUGUGAAUAUCAAAAUCUAACAAAUGUGUUGAACUUGAACUCCAAAAUUUUACGCAACAGCAUCCAUCCUCUCAAAAUGUACCAAAUCCAGACCGGUGAUUGUGCAGCUAAUUGCCGCUACAUGUAGCGGAUUUACGUAUUCGCGCAGCAAUUCAAACAUUUUUUAAUCCAAAAUAUGUUAUAAUAUCGUAUUAUCCGUUUAAAUCCAAAAUGUUGUGACUCGGCUUUAACACUCUUUGCAGCAGUGAAUACUCUUUGGACUCUAUUUUUUGUUUUUCUAAAAAAAAAAAA